This 74-nucleotide transfer RNA is filed under the name Mustela putorius furo (domestic ferret). It matches the Rfam family "tRNA". Rfam says of the family: Transfer RNA (tRNA) molecules are approximately 80 nucleotides in length. Lineage: Eukaryota; Metazoa; Chordata; Mammalia; Carnivora; Mustelidae. The record is from Rfam by way of RNAcentral.
ACCUGGCUGGCUCAGUCAGUAGAGCAUGAGACUCCUGAUCUCAGGAUUGUGAGUUCAAAGCCCUAUGCUGGGUG